Hippocampus zosterae (dwarf seahorse) is the source of this 288-nucleotide long non-coding RNA. RefSeq lists it as uncharacterized. The transcript is spliced from 2 exons. The record is from RefSeq and is a predicted model, not a curated record. Lineage: Eukaryota; Metazoa; Chordata; Actinopteri; Syngnathiformes; Syngnathidae.
UCUACGCAGCGAGUGUGCUUAGAGGCUUGAAUGUGUUAUGCGCAUUUCGUUUAAAAUCAAUUGCUUGCUAAAACGUAGUCACUUUCCUUAGACCUCGAGUACUGUACGUGGCUAACGUAGCUGUUAGCAUUCCGUACCGCGGGGAUUUCGCCGACCGUAUAACAUCGUCGGAGUAUCGUUCAACAUUCUUCUGGCCGGGUCUUUUUGUGGAGUUCUAAUUGAGGACAGCGCUGGGAUUAGCGUGCCUUCAGUGGAGUGGAUUCCAUUACGGUGCCCUGACGUCCAAAA